CCUGAGCACCAAUGUACAGGGUGGCUGUCCACAGCGUCCCUCGCUCUAUGACGCAUGAUGACGUUUCCUCCAGCCUCGUUCUGACAGACAGGUGAACGGAGCGACGACGCCAUGUUGAGCGAAAACGGAAGUGUAUUACUCUGCUCUUAAAAACAUCUUUAGAAUAUUUUUUUGAAGAGGAUCCGGACACUUUAGAAGUAAAACCCACCCAGAAGGCAGCUGAACCGAAUUCUUCUUUUGUUUACGCGUCAGUUAGGGACCAUCCUCUUUGCGGGACUCUUUUAGUGCAACUUUACAGUGACUGACAGCGUCAAAUCACUUCACGGGGUGAUCGCAAGUUACAGAUCGGGACUUCGAGAUGCCGCUGGCGCAGUUUGCAGACCCCUGGCAGAAGUUGCCUGUGGGGCAUAUGGAGAAUGAGGAUGACUCCAUGGUGGAUGAUGAUGCUCCUGUUCAAAGUACAGCCUGGUUUUAUUGGUUUCCUGUUGGAUGAGUGACAUGGCAAGCGGCCAGUAGGAGAAGAGGAUGUUCAGCAUUCACUUCAAGCUGAGCUUCAUUUUCCAACAACCCAGCAGAAAUGUUUCUGAAAGCUGUCAGAUCACUUGAUAGGGCUGUUUGUGACCCAGAGGAGUGGGUUC
This is a long non-coding RNA of Sinocyclocheilus rhinocerous, 638 nucleotides long. RefSeq lists it as uncharacterized. The transcript has 3 exons. The record is from RefSeq and is a predicted model, not a curated record. NCBI's taxonomy places the organism in Eukaryota, Metazoa, Chordata, Actinopteri, Cypriniformes, Cyprinidae.